RNAcentral lists this ribosomal RNA (441 nucleotides) under uncultured bacterium. Its description in RNAcentral is "partial 16S ribosomal RNA". It matches the Rfam family "Bacterial small subunit ribosomal RNA", at positions 338 to 795 of the family's 1533-position model. The record is from RNAcentral.
CCUACGGGUGGCAGCAGUGGGGGAUAUUGCACAAUGGGGGAAACCCUGAUGCAGCGACGCCGCGUGGGUGAAGAAGUAUUUCGGUAUGUAAAGCCCUAUCAGCAGGGAAGAAAGAAGACGGUACCUGACUAAGAAGCCCCGGCUAACUACGUGCCAGCAGCCGCGGUAAUACGUAGGGGGCGAGCGUUAUCCGGAUUCACUGGGUGUAAAGGGAGCGUAGACGGCCGUGCAAGCCAGGAGUGAAAGCCCGGGGCACAACCCCGGGACUGCUCUUGGGACUGUGCGGCUGGAGUGCGGGAGGGGCAGGCGGAAGUCCUGGUGUAGCGGUGAAAUGCGUAGAUAUCAGGAGGAACACCGGCGGCGAAGGCGGCCUGCUGGACCGCGACUGACGUUGAGGCUCGAAAGCGUGGGGAGCGAACAGGAUUAGAUACCCCUGUAGUC